AUUUGUUUAAUAUAUAAGUAUAUUUGACUUCCAAUCAAAAAGUCUGAAUAAUUCAGAACAAAUA
This 64-nucleotide transfer RNA is filed under the name Somatochlora hineana. RNAcentral's name for it is "tRNA-Gly". Lineage: Eukaryota; Metazoa; Arthropoda; Insecta; Odonata; Corduliidae. The record is from RNAcentral.